AUAGGAUCUAUAAGAUCCCUUAUCAAUAACCCCUGGUCUAAGAACAGAUUAGGAGUUGCCGUCCAGAGAGUAUCUCAUGCCCCAAGAUCGACCUGUUAAUAUUUUUUUUAAUAGUUUUCUAUUUAGUGGAUCGAUGUUCGGUUCACCGCUUAAUCCAAACUAAAAGCCAUCGCCGACGCCGACCGGGAGAGAAACAGCAGCGGCGAAUCGGAGAAACAUGACGCUAAAGCUUUACGUCGAUCGCAUGUCACAGCCAUCGCGGGCGAUUUUGAUAUUUUGCAAGGUCAACGCACUCCCAUUUGAAGAGGUUAGAAUUGAUAUCUCUAAGCGCCAACAUAGAUCGCCUGCAUUCAAGG
Molecule: long non-coding RNA, 356 nt
Organism: Zingiber officinale
Lineage: Eukaryota; Viridiplantae; Streptophyta; Magnoliopsida; Zingiberales; Zingiberaceae
Exons: 2
Source: RefSeq, a predicted model, not a curated record